This 20-nucleotide small nuclear RNA is filed under the name Arabidopsis thaliana (thale cress). RNAcentral's name for it is "snRNA_06223". The record is from RNAcentral. Lineage: Eukaryota; Viridiplantae; Streptophyta; Magnoliopsida; Brassicales; Brassicaceae.
UAUGACUCUCUUAAGGUAGC